AUCAUCGUACUUCCAUCCUCCAAGCACGCUACACACACAUGCACUGGUCUUCAUUGCACCAGCUUCACAGGCCAACGAUAUCAUCACUCACUGCUCUAGUUGAUUGAGUCAUCCCGCUCCCAGCAUCGACUGCCCACAUCUCUGUCUCCUCCCCUCUGCUCUGGCAGCGCCCCGUAGGUCUCUUGCCAUGCUGCUGAGCCGACGCUGGCACCAGGCCAGUGCUGCGCGUGGCAGCAGGGCCCCCGUCGUCUCCUUCACGGCUGCGGCGCUUACUAAAACGCUGGUGGCCGAUCCGCCGCCGCUGCCGCCGAUGAAGGGCGUCGCCUUUGGCACCCUCUUUACGCCGCACAUGGUGAUAAUCGACUUCAACGACGGCAGGUGGGGUGCGCCGGCGAUCGUACCUUUCGCCAACUUUUCGCUGCCGCCGCAGACGUCGUGCCUGCACUACGCGACACAGUGCUUCGAGGGAAUGAAAGUGUACGCGGACAUUGCCGACAUCACGAGGGCUGCGAGGGGUGAGAAGCUGGAGAAGCAGAGCCUGCGCCUGUUCCGCCCUGACCGGAACGUUGCGCGCCUGCGCCACAGCAUGCGCUCUCUGUGCUUCCCGGACUUUGACGAGGCGGAGAUGCUGAAGGUGAUCAUGGAGUUCGUGAGGACGGAGAAAGAUUACGUGCCUAAGGAGCACGGCUACUCGCUGUACCUGCGUCCGGCUGCUAUCGGCACCGCAGAUAGCCUCGGCGCCACUCCCUCGAGGUCGGUGCGUCUCUUCGUGAUUGCUUCGCCCGUGGGGCCGUACUACCUGCCGCCGGAGGACCAGUCGGGUGCGAUGGCCAUCAAGCCCGUGACGCUGCUUGCGGAGGAUAAGCGCAAGCGCGCGUGGCCCGGUGGCACUGGCGGCAGCAAGCUGGGUGCCAACUACGCUGGGCCGCUGCUGGUUCAGGAGGAGGCGCAGGCUCUCGGCUACAACCAGGUGCUGUGGCUCGGCUCCAAGGAUGAGGUGCAGGAGGCCGGAUUCAUGAACUUCUGCACGCUGUGGAAGACGAAGGAGGGCAAGACAGAGCUGGUCACCGCGCCGCUGGACGGGACGAUCCUGCCCGGCGUGACGCGCGACUCGAUCCUGGCGCUUGCACGGUCGUGGGGCGAGUUCGAGGUGUCGGAGCGCCCGUACUACAUGUCUGAGCUGGCGGAGGCGCUGCAGGAGGGGCGCGUGAUGGAGUGCUUCGGAUGCGGCACGGCUGCCAUCGUGUCUUCCGUGAGCAUGAUUGCGUAUCGCGGCAAGGAAUACAGCGUGCCGCUCUCGGAGCCGAGCUACGCGCGCCGGUUCCUGAACGAGAUCAUGGAUAUCCAGUACGGCAAGACGCCGAGCCCGUGGUCAGUGAAGGUUGAGGCUUGAAGCGGGGACGAUGCUCUUGGUCGCUCGCACCGAGGACGCCCAGGCGGGUGUGGCGGCGCUUUUCGGGACACGAAGGCUCGGUGAGUAGCGCAGCGACUGCGCGGAAGACGACGGGCAGGCAGCGCAGACGCGCGAUAACUUUGGCGGCACGUACUCCGCCACACACGCACACUCGCGUACGGCAGUGGGAGAGGCACGUAUAUGUUGCACCCUCUUUUCGGAGGGUAGAGAUGGGCGCGGGUUCUCGGUGCCCAUCCAUGUUUUCUUUUUCGAAACCCUGGGUGUGCGUGCGCGUCUCACCGUACGACGCCAUCCGUGUCUCUAUGUCUCUCUCCUGCUGUUUUUUUUUUUUGGCGUGGGCCAUCGCCCAUGAACCCCAUGCCUCCCCCAGAUCCGAUCCCAUCCCACGCAAGCACUCACGUGAAGGGAAGGAGAAGCGCCACGCGCCACACACUUCUUGUUCUCGUAGCAUUUUUCUUCCUUCCUUUGGUCUCUGUUUUCUUCGUAAUCCUGGCUAGCGUCCCUGGUGAUGCCAGACACCUCCGUGCGUGGCGUCUCACGGUCCCGUACCUCCCCUCCCCCACUCUGUGGCGAAAGUCAGGCAGCCCCCCACCCCUACCCCUGCCAGUGCCGAGCCGCUUCCGGUGGUGACAGGGUCAGGUGCCUACCCCACAGGGGAGGCCAGCGCGACUCCUGUCCGCAGCCAGGCCCUGGACGGCGUGUUGCUGGAGCGGCCGGCGACUGUGAAGGCGCUUGUGCCGUCCGCGCGAUGGGCCGAGCGUCAGCGCGGCUCGCGCGCACGCCACCCGGUGCUCGCUGCCUGCUGGCGGGGAGCCUUUAUGCGACCCCGAGGGGGUGCACCCGGUGGCGGCGGGCGGGUGGGUGGAUGGGGGGGCACAAUGGGCGCGGCUGCGAGGCGGCCUGCGGGGCGCGGGUGGUGUGCCGACGUUGAGGCGGAGGCCGCGCCCCGGCGACUGUGGCGGCGCAUUGCUGGGAGGCGUGUGUGUCCCGCUGCUUCGCGCCGCGCGAUGACGGUCCUGUGCGGCCGGGCCGGGGGCCAGAGUGGUGGUGGGGGUGGCUGGGCUCAUGCUCCAUGGCGGCGAAUGGCCGCGCUGAGAAGCGAAUGCGGUGCUCACAUCGAAGCGUUUUUGUUUUCCUGCUCUUGUUGCGUUGCCUGUCUUCCUGUUUACUUGCAUGUCGGUGCGGCUAAUAUGUUGUCCUCCCCCUUUCUGUGCACACGCGGAUAUCUGUGUGCCUGUGUAUGACCGUGACCCUCAUGGCUUCCUCCCCCCAUCUCUUGUUCUCCCGUCGCACCUCUCUUUGCCUCUGUUUUGUCCGCAUUUCUUUCCGCUCCUCCCCACCCCCGCUCAUGAGGUCAGCUGCCGGCGCCCCCCACGCCUCGCUCGCCGCCUACCUGCUCUCCGUCGUUUGCUUGAAUUGUUUGUGCAUCCUUCGCAUGCUGCUAUGCAUACAUACAUUUGUCUCUCCCCGUCUCUGCGCGCCCCUACCCUUCCUUCGUCCUUCGCCUCUCUCCCUGUAGCUCUCCCCUGUCUCUGCCGCUGCCGCCGACCUCCCCCUCUGUUGAUCCCCCCUCCCUCCCUCGUGCGUGCAUCUUCCUUUCCGCUUGCUGUUGUGGGGGUGUCGCGUUUUGUGUGCGCCUCUUUGUCCGUCGCUCUCCUUGCCGAGCUCUGUGCGCCCUCCUCAUCCUGUUAUCCUUGCCGUCUUCUGCAGAGGGCUCAUGCGGGAGCCCGCAACUGGUGCGAGUGGGCAUGGCUACACGGCGCUUGCUGAGUGCGCUGCGUGGGUGGGUGAGAGCUGCGUUGGCGGCCGGGCGAGUGGAAGACUACAGCCAUCGCCUUUUCAUUUUUUGUUUUCUUCGUAAUCCUGGAUAGCGUCCCUGGUGAUGCCAGACACCUCCGUGCGUGGCGUCUCACGGUCCCGUACCUCCCCCUCCCCCACUCUGUGGCGAAAGUCAGGCAGCCCCCCACCCCUACCCCUGCCAGUGCCGAGCCGCUUCCGGUGGUGACAGGGUCAGGUGCCUACCCCACAGGGGAGGCCAGCGCGACUCCUGUCCGCAGCCAGGCCCUGGACGGCGUGCUGCUGGAGCGGCCGGCGACUGUGAAGGCGCUUGUGCCGUCCGCGCGAUGGGCCGAGCGUCAGCGCGGCUCGCGCGCACGCCACCCGGUGCUCGCUGCCUGCUGGCGGGGAGCUUUUAUGCGACCCCGAGGGGGUGCACCCGGUGGCGGCCUGCGGGGCGCGGGUGGCGUGCCGACGUUGAGGCGGAGGCCGCGCUGAAGCAGGCUGACAAAACUACUGCUAUCGCCUUUUCUGCACUUCCGCUUUCCCCUCUAUGGCACCGCAUGGGCGUCAG
This 3764-nucleotide unclassified non-coding RNA is filed under the name Leishmania donovani. RNAcentral's name for it is "gene:LdHU3.27.2940(CDS-product:branched-chain_ami no_acid_aminotransferase_putative)". The record is from RNAcentral. Lineage: Eukaryota; Euglenozoa; Kinetoplastea; Trypanosomatida; Trypanosomatidae.